This 447-nucleotide long non-coding RNA is filed under the name Equus caballus (horse). Its description in RNAcentral is "lncRNA (ENSECAG00000041733.2)". The record is from RNAcentral. Lineage: Eukaryota; Metazoa; Chordata; Mammalia; Perissodactyla; Equidae.
UGGGGACCAUGUGUGAUUUUCUUGUUUGUUCAAAUAGCUGUACUUUUAUGGAAGCGUUCUACUUUUGGAAGAAGGGCAAACCAUGGUUCCGUGCUCUUAUCAGGAAGUGGAGACCUGGGGAUGUUUGAGGAAGGAGGAUGGGGAGAAUUUUUGGUCUGUGAACUGGGUGCUGAGAGAUUAAAGACAGCUGGUGCACACCCCAGCAGCAGAGAAGGAGCGCGUUUCUGGGGUGACGGCUCUCUGCUCCUGAAAGUGAGGGACCCUGUCCGCCUCCUCAGGAUUCCAGGCUGCUGCUCCAGUGGUUACAAAGCACCGUGCAGCAUUGAGGAAGGCAAUCAGAAGGCCACUAAGUGAAAAAAGGCAAGAAGGAGGGAACAGCCCUCCGUGCCAUGUGAGUAACGGGCUUUUUCAAAUCAGCCUCCGAAGUACCACUUCCCUGAAUCUGCC